Molecule: transfer RNA, 151 nt
Filed under: Euroglyphus maynei
Lineage: Eukaryota; Metazoa; Arthropoda; Arachnida; Sarcoptiformes; Pyroglyphidae
Rfam family: tRNA
About the family: Transfer RNA (tRNA) molecules are approximately 80 nucleotides in length. Their secondary structure includes four short double-helical elements and three loops (D, anti-codon, and T loops). Further hydrogen bonds mediate the characteristic L-shaped molecular structure. tRNAs have two regions of fundamental functional importance: the anti-codon, which is responsible for specific mRNA codon recognition, and the 3' end, to which the tRNAs corresponding amino acid is attached (by aminoacyl-tRNA synthetases). tRNAs cope with the degeneracy of the genetic code in two manners: having more than one tRNA (with a specific anti-codon) for a particular amino acid; and 'wobble' base-pairing, i.e. permitting non-standard base-pairing at the 3rd anti-codon position.
Source: Rfam by way of RNAcentral
CCGGACAUAGCUCAGUUGGUAGUAGCGGUGGACUGUAGUUGUUCUUUUAAAUAAUCAUCAUUUGUUGAUUGAAAUUUGAAAAUCUUCAACAAUGUGAUUAUUUAAGAUUAAAGAUAUCCAUAGGUCGCUGGUUCAAGUCCGGCUGUCCGGA